UUAAUGGGUGAUGGCGUGCCUUUUGUAGAAUGAACCGGCGAGUUACGAUUGCAUGCGAGGUUAAGUUGAAGAGACGGAGCCGCAGCGAAAGCGAGUCUGAAUAGGGCGUUUGAGUAUGUAGUCGUAGACCCGAAACCAUGUGAUCUACCCAUGUCCAGGUUGAAGGUGCGGUAAAACGCACUGGAGGACCGAACCCACGUACGUUGAAAAGUGCGGGGAUGAGGUGUGGGUAGCGGAGAAAUUCCAAACGAACUUGGAGAUAGCUGGUUCUCUCCGAAAUAGCUUUAGGGCUAGCCUCGGAAUUGAGAAUGAUGGAGGUAGAGCACUGUUUGGACUAGGGGCCCAUCUCGGGUUACCGAAUUCAGAUAAACUCCGAAUGCCAUUCAUUCAUAUCCGGGAGUCAGACUGUGAGUGAUAAGAUCCAUAGUCGAAAGGGAAAC
Molecule: ribosomal RNA, 440 nt
Filed under: Staphylococcus aureus
Lineage: Bacteria; Bacillati; Bacillota; Bacilli; Caryophanales; Staphylococcaceae
Description: partial 23S ribosomal RNA
Rfam family: Bacterial large subunit ribosomal RNA
Source: RNAcentral